Molecule: ribosomal RNA, 509 nt
Filed under: uncultured bacterium
Lineage: Bacteria
Description: partial 16S ribosomal RNA
Rfam family: Bacterial small subunit ribosomal RNA
Source: RNAcentral
GACGAACGCUGGCGGCGUGCUUAACACAUGCAAGUGGUGCGACGAACCAGGCUUCGGCCUGGGGCCGAGCCGCGAACGGGUGAGUAACACGUGGGCAACCUGCCCUGUUGAUCGGGACAACCCGGGGAAACCCGGGCUAAUACCGAAUGUGGUGCCGGCUCAUGGGAGCCGUCACGAAAGGAACCUUCCGCCUCCGGGAACGGCUGGGGCCGCGGCCCAUUAGCUUGUCGGUGGGGUAAUGGCCUACCAAGGCAACGAUGGGUAGCUGGUCUGAGAGGACGAUCGGCCACACUGGGACUGAGACACGGCCCAGACUCCUACGGGAGGCUGCAGUGGGGAAUCUUGCGCAAUGAGCGACAGCUUGACGCAGCAACGCCGCGUGGGGGAAGAAGGCUUUCGGGUCGUAAACCCCUUUCAGUUAGGACGAAGCUUUAUUGGUUAAUAACCAAUUGGAGUGACGGUACUUUCAGAAGAAGCCCCGGCUAACUACGUGCCAGCCGCCGCCGUAA